AGCGGAGACUGGGAGCGAAAAAUCCGGGAUCCGGCAACUUUGGGCAGCGCAUGCGCGCCCGCGGCGCUCCAUCCCAAACACACACACAUUUUUCCCCCGGACUUGGAAAGUCACCCAAAGCCGCCCCAAGUGCAGGCACACAGACCUUGGUGACAGAAGACAAAGAUCCCAUUGGCCCUUCCAGGUGCCCUGGCCACCAACCCCUCCUUCACAGGGGGGUCCUGCAACUCCCAGGUGGUGCGUGUUGGAAUGGACUUCAGACCCCAGCCUCUUGGGAUGCAAAGGAUGAAGUGACACCCCAUCAGCAUCUGAGGCACCUCUAGGACCCGUUAGGAGGUAAGGCAUGCACCUUCUCCAUAA
Molecule: non-coding RNA, 360 nt
Organism: Ictidomys tridecemlineatus (thirteen-lined ground squirrel)
Lineage: Eukaryota; Metazoa; Chordata; Mammalia; Rodentia; Sciuridae
Source: RefSeq, a predicted model, not a curated record